UAUCUUAGCAACCGUGUAGAGCGUCGCGCUGGCCGUUUACACUCGGAUUAAUUGAUUUAAAAUAAUAAAGAAUAGUGAUUUUAUAAUUGAAUGGAUUAUUAAUGGACAAGAUUAAAUUUAACACUUAAAAUUUUAUUAUUAUUUUAGUAAAAUGGCGCCGAAAAAGAAAGGAGGCCUUCAGACUGUACAGAAGGAAACUGAUGAGCUGCAGAGGAAGGUGGACUCUUUGGUGCAGGACUUUAACACAUUGAGUGUCUCAGACGGAACACAGACGUCUCAGAGGUGUUUAGAUCUACAGAGAGCAGUGACAGACACGCUAACAACGCUCCAGAGAUUAACCAAAGCAGAUGAACGGGCUCCUGUAGGAGAUUAUGAUCAGAGGAAGAGGCAGGAGGAGGAGCGACUGAGGACUUUACAGGAGAAACUCAGAGCUCUGAAAAUAAAACCUCAGGACAACUCGGCUGAAGAAGAGGAGGUCAGUGAGGAGGAAGAGGGUGAAGAGGAAGAGGAAGAUGAUGCACAUGAUGAUGAUGAUGAGGAGGAGGAGGAGGAUGAGGAUGAUGAUGAGGAUGAUGGAGAUGCAGACAGGAAGACGUUCACUGCUCAGAUGAACAAUGUGCGCUAUGUGGCUCUCGGCUCUUUCACAGGACAAGAGGAGGGAGACCUUACAGUCCAGAAAGGAGCUGUUGUUAAAAUCCUGCAGAAGAGUGAUGACGGAUGGUGGCUCGCUCAGGACAGAGACGGGAACAAAGGCCUGGUCCCCAAAAACUACCUUCAGAAAAUAUCUCCACAAGAGCGAGUGGAAGAAACCGAUGAUGAUGAUGAUGAUGAAGAUGAAGAAAGUAAUGAAGUACUGAAGGAUGAAAAUGACCCUGCUGAUGGGAAAGCGAGCAUGUCGUCCAACUGGGAUACAGUGAGAAAGGCUGUUAGUGAGAUCGAUGCCACUGAUGUGCUGUCAGCCAUGGGAGCCAUUCCUCCAGGCUUCAGACCCUCCACUCUGUCUAAACUGCUGGAGGAAGGGACUUGCUAUAGAGCCAGUCAUUAUAUUCAACCCAAACUCGGCCAGUCAGAGCUCAGCUUUAAAGACCUUCAGCUGGACCCAGACACCGGCAAGGUCCUUGCACACACAUCUCGAGCGUGUGUGAUCAUGACUCUAUGGAGCUGUAGGAUGAUCCCGCCUCCAGGGGUGGGGCUGAGGGUCCUGAGCCGUCACAUCCGUCUUUGCGCUUUUAAUGGAACUGAGGUGGUGAGUAACAUCCACACUGUGAGAGCCUCCUACACUCCAUCCAGCCCUAAAACAUGGAGCUUCUCACCACGGAUGAGCGGUUUGUUGCCCUGUCUGUUAGAUGGAGAGUGUUUUUUUUGCUGCGAUUCUAAUUCUCCUGAUGUGGGAAUCCUGUUUGAGCUCGGCGUCACCUACAUCAGAAGUUCCACAGGAGAGAGAGGAGAUCUGAGCUGUGGUUGGGCUUUUCUUAAACUGUUUGAUGAAAAUGGAGCACUCAUACCUCUACGAACGCAGGAGCUUGCUGUGCAUGGAGGUACUCCAUAUGAGGGAGUCAUGGAUGCAUAUAGCAUGCCAUCUAAAAGAGGUGGCUCCACUGGUGUGCUUCAUCACAUGCUGAUGUCCAGGAAGCUUCCCAAACUCACCAUUAAGCUCAGAUCCCCAAACACUCGUACCAGAGGACAGCUCAGCUUACUCCCUGACACUUUACUCGGCUGUGUGUCCACGGUUCCCCUGCUGGUUCUGUACAGACAACUGCUCGCUGAUACACUGCUGCUGGACCGAGUCACCAUGCAGAAUGCAGAUCUGAUCUGCAGCUCGGUUCUAGCGACAUUCCCUGAGGUUCUUGAUCAGUUGGACCUGAUGGAUGCUUUCAGGAAAUCAUGGGCAGAGUCAGAAAACAACCUGAAAAGGUCUCAGAAGAAGGAUGUAGCUGUACUAAAGAAGCUCUUUGAGAGUGUGUAUAUGAGCAGCGUGUUCCCGUUAUUGUUCUCGGCUGAGAUGCUCGCUCCUGUCUGGGCCAACGAGGACACAGAGGCCCAACGAGCCCGUAUCAUUUACAACCCCGCCCACAAGAUCACCUUGGAAACCAUGCUGUCCUCCAGUCACAAGCAUCAAGCCUUUAACAUCUCUCAAGUUUCCUAUGAUCUCCUCAAUUCUGCCUGGAACUGACCAAUCACCAUGCAGCUGACCUACAGACUGACCAAUCAGCACACAGCUCAUGUACACACUCCCAGUGACUGCACGGUUUAAAAUCAACCCGGCCAGUGACCAUACCACGCUGCUGUGGACCAAUCUGAGCUCCAGACUGACCAGCUACAGACCGACCAAUCAGCAUUCAGCAGAAGUUAAAAUGGACAACAGCUGACCAAUCAGGAUGAAGGACUCUGAUCAGUCUGUUCAACUACUUAUUAAACUAUUAACCAGUACUUAACAGCAGCAGGAGGUUGUGUUUCAUUUCAGAGUAAGAAACCUGAGUCAGUAAGAUGACACGCCUAGGUGGCCUGCUGCUGUGGUGACAGAAAAAAGUUGGAGCCCAAAACACACACACACACACACACACACACACUACCCAUGUAAUGAUGCUAUCUAUUGUCAUAAACUUCCCCUCCAUUCCAA
Neoarius graeffei (lesser salmon catfish) is the source of this 2620-nucleotide RNA transcript. It is a transcript of the gene named nephronophthisis 1, with no coding region annotated. The record is from RefSeq and is a predicted model, not a curated record. Lineage: Eukaryota; Metazoa; Chordata; Actinopteri; Siluriformes; Ariidae. The transcript is spliced from 21 exons.